AGGACCUGGAAUUGAACUCAGGACCUUUGGAAGAGCAGGCAAUGCUCUUAACCACUGAGCCAUCUCUCCAGCCCCAAGAGAAAAACUUUUUAAAGUGGGUUUAUAUUUGUUUGUUUGUUUCAUGAGACUGGGUUUCUCUGUGUAGCUUUGGAGCUUGUCCUAGAACUCGCUCUGUAGACCAGGCUGGCCUUGAAGUCACAGAGUUCCGCUUGCCUCUGCCUCCCGAGUGCUGAGAUUAAUGGUGUGCACCACCACCACCUGGCGAGUUUAUAUUUUCUUAAGAUUCUGACUAUUACUUCUAACACAACAGUAGUCAGAGUAAUUAAUAACAUUGUACACUACUUUUAAAAAGUCUUAAUUAAGAUAAUGUAAAAUUAUGUUCUCUUAAGUCCAGAGAAGAAAUAUCUCCUUUUUGGUCUGUAGUUUACUCCUUAUUGUUAACACAAAAUGCUUAGGAUACACUAGAAUUCUCUGUCUUGGAAAACAGUGUUUUCAAUAUAGCUUAUUAGAUUUGUUGCAGCCCUGGAGAGAGACUUCUGAUAUACAAUACUAUCAACAUUAAAUGCAUCUAAUGACAACAGUUAUCAGAAAGAUAAAAGAAAUUCUAAGAUACUCUCUGCUAUGAGAUAAGGUUGGUAAAUUAUAGGCCACACAGUCUGUUUUGGUAUAUAAAGUUUUAUUGGAACACCUACACAUUCUUUCAUCUGUUGCUAUGCUGUACCAAAGAGUUGAACAGUUGCCACAGAGCCUAUAUGACCCACAAAGCAAGCUUUUUUACUGUAUGGUCUUAAGUGGUUACUAACUCUUGCCAUGGAAGGGUUCCUAAAGAUGUUUCUAAAGAGCUCUUCCUUGAAAUAUACAGAUUAUUAUUUCGUAGCCUAAUAGUUCCCAGAUUGUUUUUUAGAAUGUUAAUAUUCUAUGAGUCUUUUGAGAAAAAAAUUUAUAUUAUCAAUAAUUUUCUUUGUAAUUUUACUAUAAGUUGAUUUGAACGUAAGUUUGACUACUAAACUCAUUUCUGUAGUUUUUAUUUUUAUGUGAUAAUCUGCCCUUAAGAAAGGUGUGCCGUACCUGAGAGCACCAGGAAGUCGCAUGAGAUCACCUGAUAAAAGAAUAAAAGAACAAGUGAUGUUCCAUCUUCAAAAUGAAGCAUUUACAAAUUAACCAGUGUGUUGCUAUGUAUCUUCUCUCUUCUUUGUUUCUCGUCUUAUCAUUUCAAACCAUAUGUGAUACUCGGUGUUAAAUCUAAAUAAGCCCUGUUUUGCACCACAAACUCAUUACCCCUGGAUCUUUUGCUGAAACAAGGAAGUAUUAAACAAGGAACAGAAUCAUUUUGUUCCCAAAUUGUAUCUGAAUCAGACAGUCAACAGGUUGGGAUAGUACAAAGUGAAGAUGAACCUUUGAAGUCUUCAGUUUCUAUAAAACCAGAAGGUGAGCUUUCCAGGGUCGAAUUUAUGUCCAAUUCCAAUAAAAUAGCAACAUUGAGUAAGAAAAUAGAAAGGAGAAACUAUGAUGAAAGUUAUUUCUCCUUUGGAUUUACUUACUUUGGAAAUCAAGAUAUACCCCAUGCUCAGUGUGUAUUCUGUAAGAUUUUAUCCAAUGCUCUUUAGCCCCAGUAAGCUUCAAAGACAUUUAGAAACUAAACAAGCUGUAUAUAAAGGUAAAGACAUCAGCUUUUUCAAUAGCAUCUUGAUUCAUCUAAACAUAAUAAACCUCCAGCACCUAAUCUCUCAAUACAGAUAAUGAAGUUAAUCUGUCAAUGCAAGGAAGAUGUAACAGUGUUUACAGUGUUUGAUAAAAUGUCAUCAUUGUAGAAAAAAUAAAGAAUAAAAGAAAAUAGAAAAAAUUUUUAAAAAGAGGAAAAAAAUGUCAUCAUUGUUAAGAAAAUUGGAGUUUGGGGCCUCAUCUGUAGAAGGAAACUUUGAUUGUGUGGUCUAUGGGGAUUUCAAAAGUUACUGGGCUGAUCUUUUAGAGGGUCUUACACAGCUCUCUACCUUUAUUAGCUGACAAAAAAACCUUUACUAAAGUUCAGUAAAAAGAAGAGAAGGAGGAUAGUGAAGGAGAACCAACAAAAAAAAAAAAAAAAAGGAAAGAUUUCUUACUUCACUAGUUGGUAUGGUGACAUGUGUCACCGUAUUUGGGUUUUUGGCUGUGGCUCAGGUACUCUGUGACCAAGAAUUCAGUAUGGCCAUUCUGUGGAAGUCACUGAGAUGUGCCCUAACAUUUUGAUACACUCUGAACUACAGAGGGAAGGGGGAAGAAAUAAUGAAUACUUAGGUAUUUUCUCAGUUCUUCUUAGAUUAUUUCAAAUUCCAUUGCACUUUAGCAAUUAUGAGACUUGGAUGACUAACUUAAUUUAGUAAUGCUAUUAAUUUAUUCUUGGAAUACUAUAAAAAUGUCCUGUUGAUUUACUGUCUUUGAACUGCUUUUCCUAUAACAUUGAUAACCAGUUCUGGUAAAUAUUUCAUGCUGCUCCGGUAAAGAGCUACCACAAAUAGUCAUUAUCUAAUCUCACUCACUGAAACUUUUAUUCUCCUAUUUUGGCAAAUUAUGGUAAAAUGGCUUGGGCUCAAAUGUCCAUUCUACUACUUACCUAGAUGUUUGACUACAGCAUUCUGAACUUUGCUAAACUCCUGUUAAUUCUUUUGUUUUUAUUUUAUUGGGGUGUUUCUCUGUGUAACCUUGGCUGUCCUGGAAUUCAGUGUGUAAACCAGGCUUGCCUCGCAUUCACAGAGAUCUUCCUGCCUCUGUCUCCCGAAUGCUGGGAUUAAAGGUGUGUACCACUACCAGCCAGCUCAGUUAAUUCAUUUUUUAAAUUAGCUUUUCAGGGUGAUUUUUAAAGUUAAGAGAGAAUGUGUUUAAAGACUGUGACCCAGAUAAGUGUGUGACAUAUGUUCUCUACUGUAUCAAGUGUUCCCAAUCAAUUUGACUUAACAUUUCACUGAGUCUCAAUAGUUUUCUAAGCCAGAAAACAUUUUUUUUAAAUGUUAAGCAGUUCUUUUAUUUUUUUUUAAAGAUUUAUUUAUUAUGUUUACAACAUUCUGCCUCCAUGUAUGCCUGCACACCAGAGGAGGGCGCCAGAUCUCAUUAUAGAUGGUUGUGAGCCACCAUGUGGUUGCUGGGAAUUGAACUCAGGACCUCUGGAAGAGCAGCCAGUGCUCUUAACCUCUGAGCCAUCUCUCCAGCCCACCAGAAAACAUUUUGAUAAGAGGCAAAAUGAAACACUUCUGUCAAGGUUCUCGCUCUCCUCCUGCCUUUGUCAGCUUUGAAAGAAACGUCUAUUUGUCAGUCACCUUAGUACAUGUGUUGUUUAUGAUUAAUGUUUCUGACAAUACUGCGAGACUUGGGCUUGAGCAAGGUCACACUGACUAACAAAAUUUAGUCUUUCUCAAAGAUGGUACUUUUCUCUGUCAUUGCCUUUCAGACUUUUCAAAGAGUGAACAGUGACUUUAUAAGUUCAGCCCAUCCCCUCCUAAAAUCUGAAUAUUUCUUUGAAAUCUGUUUUUUUCUAAACUCAUCCAAAAUGGACCAUUUACUUUAAACUAUAACUUUAUUUUCCUGUAAAAAAAAAUACCAGUUGCUGUAAUACAAAGUUAAAUAUUCAAAAAUACAUCAUAGUUUCCCAUCGGUGCUGUACAUUCUAUGUACAAGCCUGGUAUUAAACACACCCCAGUUUGAGAAGCAUGUGCAGAGCUGAGCCUGUGUCUGUCUUGAACUGAAUCUGGUAAUUAGAAGACUCCAUGUGUGAUUGCUGGGCUUGAUUAAAUCUCUCUCCAGGAUGUCUCGUUCUUCAAAUACAUUCUUUUCCUGUCUUUUUCUGGACCACGUUGUUGGGCAGUCUGGUUUCUUCUAUUUAAAUUCGAUUUCUUUAACUGGGACCCUGUUGUCUGCUAUUGGACGUCUAAGACUGACCUUACCCAACUUGACACCAAGUAUUCUGAAACCUGUCUGGCCCCUUGUAUUAUGACUUGCAUAACUAGAGAGAGUGGGCUGCUAGCUAUAAAGAUGGUCUGUUGCUGGCUGGAUGAUUACUAACUCCACACCAUACCUUCUUCUGACUUGUUCUAUUCUCUUAGUUAUACCUGAAUCCCCAAAGAGAAGAUUCUUUUCCUCUGUGUUUAAAUACUUCUUGCCCUUAACAAGCGGGCAGCACUGCCAGUCCCCGUGACGGUUCACAAGCCCUUUGGUUAUUGUGCAGACAGCAUCCUUGAACACAGAAGCCUCUCCAGCCAGAGGGAAGCCACUCUCUGAUCACUCUUCCACAAAGAAAAGAAGUCUUAAAAGAAGAAAUAAACAUCAUUUGACUUAAUAGAACAACUACUUGGGGUCUAAAGGGUACUGUCAAGGACUACCUACCCAGCCUACCUGUGCUACUAUAAAUGAGUACUGUUAAUUAGCUCAGUGGAAAGAAUUCUAGAGUUAGCCUCUUACGGUUUUAUUGCUGUGAAGAGACACCAUGACCACUGCAACUCUUAUGAAGGAAAACAUUUAAUUGGUGGCUUCCAGUUCAGACGUUUAGUCCAGUAUUGCGAUUGCACGGAAGUACGGCAGCACUUGGGCAGCUGGAAAGGCAGCUGAGAGUUCUCCCUCUGGAUUGGCAGUCAGCAGGAAGAACAAGCUUGACCUUCUGAACCCUCGAACCUCCCCCCACCCACACAUACAGUGACGUACUUCCUCCAACAAAGCUACAUCUCCAGUCAUACCACUCCUUAGGGGCCUGUGGAAACCAUUUUCAUUCAACCCACUACAGUUAAUAAAGAUGAUGAAAUUUAUAAACAGCACCUUAGUAAGUCAUGAUUUGUAGAGGACAUUCCAGG
This is a long non-coding RNA of Alexandromys fortis (reed vole), 4814 nucleotides long. RefSeq lists it as uncharacterized. NCBI's taxonomy places the organism in Eukaryota, Metazoa, Chordata, Mammalia, Rodentia, Cricetidae. The transcript is spliced from 3 exons. The record is from RefSeq and is a predicted model, not a curated record.